Molecule: long non-coding RNA, 417 nt
Filed under: Ananas comosus (pineapple)
Lineage: Eukaryota; Viridiplantae; Streptophyta; Magnoliopsida; Poales; Bromeliaceae
Description: long non-coding RNA (ACOM_LNC025243)
Source: RNAcentral
UUUAUUUAGCUUUCUAAGUUUCAAAUACAGUACAGGUUUGGAGAGUUGGGCCCUGUUUGGAUGCACAGUUAAAAAACUUUAUGGAAUUUUUAUUAUAUGGUUUUGGUCUAAAUGAAAUACGGAAUCCUGUAACUAUAAAAAAAUUCCAUAGUUUCAUUUCUAAACUGUUUGGAUAUAUAUAUCAUACAAUUCUACAGUAUUUAUAACAAUUAAAUUUCUAAAAUUUUAAAAUUCAAAAUUCAAAACUCAAAAUUCAAAAUUCAAAAUUCAAAAUUUAAAAAUAAAAUUUUAAAAAUUUAAAUUAAAAAUUCAAAAUAUAAAAUUAAAAUUUAAAAUUUAAAAUUAAAAAAGUAAAUUAGAUUUUAUGUUUUAAAUUUGAAAUUUGAAAUUUGAAAUUUGAAAUUUCAAAUUUGAAAU